Molecule: ribosomal RNA, 1030 nt
Filed under: Acinetobacter baumannii
Lineage: Bacteria; Pseudomonadati; Pseudomonadota; Gammaproteobacteria; Moraxellales; Moraxellaceae
Description: bacterial SSU rRNA
Rfam family: Bacterial small subunit ribosomal RNA
Source: RNAcentral
UGCUCAGAUUGAACGCUGGCGGCAGGCUUAACACAUGCAAGUCGAGCGGGGGAAGGUAGCUUGCUACUGGACCUAGCGGCGGACGGGUGAGUAAUGCUUAGGAAUCUGCCUAUUAGUGGGGGACAACAUCUCGAAAGGGAUGCUAAUACCGCAUACGUCCUACGGGAGAAAGCAGGGGAUCUUCGGACCUUGCGCUAAUAGAUGAGCCUAAGUCGGAUUAGCUAGUUGGUGGGGUAAAGGCCUACCAAGGCGACGAUCUGUAGCGGGUCUGAGAGGAUGAUCCGCCACACUGGGACUGAGACACGGCCCAGACUCCUACGGGAGGCAGCAGUGGGGAAUAUUGGACAAUGGGGGGAACCCUGAUCCAGCCAUGCCGCGUGUGUGAAGAAGGCCUUAUGGUUGUAAAGCACUUUAAGCGAGGAGGAGGCUACUUUAGUUAAUACCUAGAGAUAGUGGACGUUACUCGCAGAAUAAGCACCGGCUAACUCUGUGCCAGCAGCCGCGGUAAUACAGAGGGUGCGAGCGUUAAUCGGAUUUACUGGGCGUAAAGCGUGCGUAGGCGGCUUAUUAAGUCGGAUGUGAAAUCCCCGAGCUUAACUUGGGAAUUGCAUUCGAUACUGGUGAGCUAGAGUAUGGGAGAGGAUGGUAGAAUUCCAGGUGUAGCGGUGAAAUGCGUAGAGAUCUGGAGGAAUACCGAUGGCGAAGGCAGCCAUCUGGCCUAAUACUGACGCUGAGGUACGAAAGCAUGGGGAGCAAACAGGAUUAGAUACCCUGGUAGUCCAUGCCGUAAACGAUGUCUACUAGCCGUUGGGGCCUUUGAGGCUUUAGUGGCGCAGCUAACGCGAUAAGUAGACCGCCUGGGGAGUACGGUCGCAAGACUAAAACUCAAAUGAAUUGACGGGGGCCCGCACAAGCGGUGGAGCAUGUGGUUUAAUUCGAUGCAACGCGAAGAACCUUACCUGGCCUUGACAUACUAGAAACUUUCCAGAGAUGGAUUGGUGCCUUCGGGAAUCUAGAUACAGGUGCUGCA